AUAAGUGAAUAGUGAAAUCUGGCGGCUCAACCGUACAGGCUAUUAUUCAAACUGUAUAACUCGAGAAUGGUAGAGGUAACUGGAAUUUCUUGUGUAGGAGUGAAAUCCGUAGAUAUAAGAAGGAACACCAAUGGCGUAGGCAGGUUACUGGACCAUUUCUGACACUGAGGCACGAAAGCGUGGGGAGCGAACCGGAUUAGAUACCCGGGUAGUCCACGCCGUAAACGAUGGAUACUA
RNAcentral lists this ribosomal RNA (237 nucleotides) under uncultured Candidatus Saccharibacteria bacterium. RNAcentral's name for it is "partial 16S ribosomal RNA". It matches the Rfam family "Bacterial small subunit ribosomal RNA", at positions 583 to 818 of the family's 1533-position model. The record is from RNAcentral. Lineage: Bacteria; Candidatus Saccharimonadota.